GACGAACGCUGGCGGCGUGCCUAAUACAUGCAAGUUGAGCGCUGAAGGUUGGUACUUGUACCAACUGGAUGAGCAGCGAACGGGUGAGUAACGCGUGGGGAAUCUGCCUUUGAGCGGGGGACAACAUUUGGAAACGAAUGCUAAUACCGCAUAAAAACUUUAAACACAAGUUUUAAGUUUGAAAGAUGCAAUUGCAUCACUCAAAGAUGAUCCCGCGUUGUAUUAGCUAGUUGGUGAGGUAAAGGCUCACCAAGGCGAUGAUACAUAGCCGACCUGAGAGGGUGAUCGGCCACAUUGGGACUGAGACACGGCCCAAACUCCUACGGGAGGCAGCAGUAGGGAAUCUUCGGCAAUGGACGAAAGUCUGACCGAGCAACGCCGCGGGAGUGAAGAAGGUUGUCGGAUCGUAAAACUCUGUUGGUAGAGAAGAACGUUGGUGAGAGUGGAAAGCUCAUCAAGUGACGGUAACUACACAGAAAGGGACGGCUAACUACGUG
This 497-nucleotide ribosomal RNA is filed under the name uncultured bacterium. Its description in RNAcentral is "partial 16S ribosomal RNA". It matches the Rfam family "Bacterial small subunit ribosomal RNA", at positions 28 to 507 of the family's 1533-position model. The record is from RNAcentral.